CUACGUGCCAGCAGCCGCGGUAAUACGGAGGGUGCGAGCGUUAAUCGGAAUAACUGGGCGUAAAGGGCACGCAGGCGGUGACUUAAGUGAGGUGUGAAAGCCCCGGGCUUAACCUGGGAAUUGCAUUUCAUACUGGGUCGCUAGAGUACUUUAGGGAGGGGUAGAAUUCCACGUGUASCGGUGAAAUGCGUAGAGAUGUGGAGGAAUACCGAAGGCGAAGGCAGCCCCUUGGGAAUGUACUGACGUUCAUGCCCGAAAGCGUGGGUAGCAAACAGGAUUAGAUACCCUGGUAGUCCACGCCCUAAACGAUGUCGAUUAGCUGUUGGGCAACUUGAUUGCUUGGUAGCGAAGCUAACGCGUGAAAUCGACCGCCUGGGGAGUACGGUCGCAAGAUUAAAACUCAAAGGAAUUGACGGGGACCCGCACAAGCGGUGGAUGAUGUGGAUUAAUUCGAUGCAACGCGAAGAACCUUACCUGGUCUUGACAU
RNAcentral lists this ribosomal RNA (487 nucleotides) under uncultured bacterium. RNAcentral describes it as "bacterial SSU rRNA". It matches the Rfam family "Bacterial small subunit ribosomal RNA", at positions 501 to 987 of the family's 1533-position model. The record is from RNAcentral.